RNAcentral lists this ribosomal RNA (460 nucleotides) under uncultured bacterium. RNAcentral describes it as "partial 16S ribosomal RNA". It matches the Rfam family "Bacterial small subunit ribosomal RNA", at positions 338 to 795 of the family's 1533-position model. The record is from RNAcentral.
CCUACGGGAGACAGCAGUGAGGAAUAUUGGUCAAUGGCCGGGAGACUGAACCAGCCAAGUCGCGUGAGGGAAGAAGGUACUGUGGUUUGUAAACUUCUUUUAUCGGGGAAUAAAGAUUUCCACGUGUGGCUGUUUGCAUGUACCCUAUGAAUAAGCAUCGGCUAACUCCGUGCCAGCAGCCGCGGUAAUACGGAGGAUGCGAGCGUUAUCCGGAUUUAUUGGGUUUAAAGGGUGCGUAGGUUGUUUUUUAAGUCAGCGGUGAAAGUUCGUGGCUCAACCCUAGAAUUGCCGUUGAAACUGGAAGACUUGAGUGGGAUAGAGGUAGGCGGAAUGCGUGGUGUAGCGGUGAAAUGCAUAGAUAUCACGCAGAACUCCGAUUGCGAAGGCAGCUUACUAAGCCAUAACUGACACUGAAGCACGAAAGCGUGGGGAUCAAACAGGAUUAGAUACCCUAGUAGUC